This 168-nucleotide unclassified non-coding RNA is filed under the name uncultured Leptodontidium. RNAcentral describes it as "sequence contains ITS1". Lineage: Eukaryota; Fungi; Ascomycota. The record is from RNAcentral.
CAGAGUUCUCGCCCUCGCGGGUAGAUCUCCCACCCUGUGUUAUUAUUACCUUUGUUGCUUUGGCGGGCCGUCUAGCUUCGGCCAGGCUACCGGCUCCGGCUGGUAAGCGCCCGCCAGAGGACCCCAAACCCUGAAUGUUAGUGUCGUCUGAGUACUAUAUAAUAGUUA